AAAAAAAGCAGGAAAAGGAGAUAAUGAAGAAACAGCCAUUGUUCAGUCAUUUUUCUAUCAGCUUUACCUGAAAGGAGAACAGCUUUGAUGUCAUUCAUCACAAGGUUUUUUUGAAGACCGUUCUUCAUCAGUAUUAUACAGAUCCUUAUCAGCCAGAAGAUCAGGACCUUUCCCCUUUUCUCCUUCGGGCUAAGAUUGCCAGAUUUAUCAUAUCACAUAGCUAUUAAAGGAGAAGAUAAACU
Molecule: non-coding RNA, 242 nt
Organism: Sus scrofa (pig)
Lineage: Eukaryota; Metazoa; Chordata; Mammalia; Artiodactyla; Suidae
Source: RefSeq, a predicted model, not a curated record